Molecule: ribosomal RNA, 314 nt
Filed under: Triticum aestivum (bread wheat)
Lineage: Eukaryota; Viridiplantae; Streptophyta; Magnoliopsida; Poales; Poaceae
Description: partial small subunit ribosomal RNA
Source: RNAcentral
GAGUGCUUUUAUUGCAAGGGGAAGGGUCACUGGAAGCGGAACUGCCCCAAAUACUUAGCGGAUAAGAAGGCCGGCAACAUCAAAGGUAUAUUUGAUAUACAUGUAAUUGAUGUGUACCUUACCAGUACUCGUAGUAACUCCUGGGUAUUUGAUACCGGUGCCGUUGCUCAUAUUUGUAACUCACAGCAGGAGCUGCGGAAUAAACGGAGACUGGCGAAGGACGAGGUGACGAUGCGCGUCGAGAAUGGUUCCAGAGUCGAUGUGAUCGCCGUCGGCACGCUGCCUCUACAUUUACCUACGGGAUUAGUUUUGAA